ACUCAUAUGUCUUUGAUCCACUCUUGGAAACCACACAUCUAAACUGCAAUUUUUUCUGAUAAUAGAUGAAAAGUGCAUCAGAUGGUUAUAUGAUGAGAAUAACAAAAGUAUAGAAACAAGCGUAGGAUCACUAUAGGAACAAUAAAUGCAUGUUGGAUCCAAUUGCAUGAACACUGAUGACCAAAGGAUGGAGAAAACUAACUAAAAUCAACCCAAUACAUAUGAAAUCUAGCAUAACCAGGAGGAAUAUGUCAUAACAAGUUGCAAUCACAACUCAGAAUAACGAACAUUAGAUAAAGAGCAUUGGCGUCUUCACAAGUUGCAUGACUCCAAGUUUGUCACAUGCAGGUUGUCACAUUAAUUAUGAGUUCAAAUAUAGAAGAUGGAGCAUUCUGAGAACUAAAUCUUCGACAUUAGAGCUUAUUAGUGAUAGGGAUAUGGAGUAUUCUAGAAAAGCAAAGAAGGAAAUCGUGACUAUCUCUCACACACCCCAGCAGUAUACUCACUGCCCCAAGCUACCCAAGCUGGAAGAAAAUACAACUCAGUUCUUUCACACUUGUCUAGCCUUCCCC
This 572-nucleotide unclassified non-coding RNA is filed under the name Hevea brasiliensis (rubber tree). The record is from RNAcentral. Lineage: Eukaryota; Viridiplantae; Streptophyta; Magnoliopsida; Malpighiales; Euphorbiaceae.